GAUGAACGCUGGCGGCGUGCCUAAUACAUGCAAGUCGAGCGAACGGACGAGACGCUUGCUGCUCUGAUGUUAGCGGCGGACGGGUGAGUAACACGUGUAUAACCUCCCUAUAAGACUGGGAUCACUUCGGGAAACCGGAGCUAAUCCCGGAGAAUAUUUUGAACCGCAUGGUUCAAAAGUGAAAGACGGUCUUGCUGUCACUUAUAGAUGGAUCCGCGCUGCAUUAGCUGGUUGGUAAGGUAACGGCUUACCAAGGCUAGGAUGCGUAGACGACGGCAUAGGCGGAUAGCCGACCUGAGAGGUGGGACGGGGACCUGGGUCCUAAGGUAGGCCGCAGAAGGGAACGGUCGGCAAUAGGCGGAAGCAUGACGGAGUGACGCGGCGUGAGUGAUGAAGGCCUUCGGUUCGUAAAGCCCGGUUUCGAGGGAUGAACAGCUGUGGAAGGAAAUGUGGACUGAGUGACGGUACCUAGUCAGAAAGCACCGGCUAACUACGUG
RNAcentral lists this ribosomal RNA (497 nucleotides) under uncultured bacterium. RNAcentral describes it as "partial 16S ribosomal RNA". It matches the Rfam family "Bacterial small subunit ribosomal RNA", at positions 28 to 507 of the family's 1533-position model. The record is from RNAcentral.